GACGAACCGUCCAAACGUUAUUCGGAAUCACUGGGCUUACAGAGUUCGUAGGCGGUCUGGAAAGUUAGGUGUGAAAUCCCUCGGCUCAACCGAGGAACUGCGCUUGAAACUACCAGACUCGAGGGAGAUAGAGGAAAGCGGAACUGAUGGUGGAGCGGUGAAAUGCGUUGAUAUCAUCAGGAACACCGGUGGCGAAGGCGGCUUUCUGGGUCUUACCUGACGCUGAGGAACGAAAGCCAGGGGAGCGAACGGG
Molecule: ribosomal RNA, 253 nt
Filed under: uncultured bacterium
Lineage: Bacteria
Description: partial 16S ribosomal RNA
Rfam family: Bacterial small subunit ribosomal RNA
Source: RNAcentral